AGAAGUGAAAAAAUUCUUCUUCUUGCACUGAUUCCUCUUUCAAUAAAAAUGUCAUAAUGAAGGAGAUAAAAGUGAUAAUGUGUUAGCACCAGUAGAUGUAAAUGAUGAUGUUGAGCAGGUGGAACAACUCCCUCCACCUCAGAUUAUAGAAGAACCUCAUAUUAGAAGGUCAAGCAGAACACAUCAUUACAAGAAGUGCAUAAUCACAAAGAAAAAGCUCAGUGGAUAAAUGCAAUACAACAUAAAAUGAGUUCUUUAAAAAA
RNAcentral lists this long non-coding RNA (263 nucleotides) under Carica papaya (papaya). Its description in RNAcentral is "long non-coding RNA (CPAP_LNC002091)". The record is from RNAcentral. Lineage: Eukaryota; Viridiplantae; Streptophyta; Magnoliopsida; Brassicales; Caricaceae.